This 506-nucleotide ribosomal RNA is filed under the name uncultured bacterium. Its description in RNAcentral is "partial 16S ribosomal RNA". It matches the Rfam family "Bacterial small subunit ribosomal RNA", at positions 29 to 523 of the family's 1533-position model. The record is from RNAcentral.
AUUGAACGCUGGCGGCAGGCCUAACACAUGCAAGUCGGACGGUAGCACAGAGGAGCUUGCUCCUCGGGUGACGAGUGGCGGACGGGUGAGUAAUGUCUGGGGAUCUGCCCGAUAGAGGGGGAUAACCACUGGAAACGGUGGCUAAUACCGCAUAACGUCGCAAGACCAAAGAGGGGGACCUUCGGGCCUCUCACUAUCGGAUGAACCCAGAUGGGGUUAGCUAGUAGGCGGGGUAACGGCCCACCUAGGCGACGAUCCCUAGCUGGUCUGAGAGGAUGACCAGCCACACGGGAACUGAGAAACGGUCCAGACUCCUACGGGAGGCAGCAGUGGGGAAUAUUGCACAAUGGGCGCAAGCCUGAUGCAGCCAUGCCGCGUGUAUGAAGAAGGCCUUCGGGUUGUAAAGUACUUUCAGCGGGGAGGAAGGCGAUGUGGUUAAUAACCGCGUCGAUUGACGUUACCCGCAGAAGAAGCACCGGCUAACUCCGUGCCAGCCGCCGCGGUAA